AGAAUCAACGCUGGCGGCGCGCUUAACACAUGCAAGUCGCACGAGAAAGGGAGCAAUCCUUAGUAAAGUGGCGCACGGGUGAGUAACACGUGGAUCAUCUACCUUUUAGUGGGGAAUACCCCUGGGAACCGGGGAUAAUACCGCAUAAGCUCGAAAGAGGAAAGCAGCAAUGCGCUGAAAGAGGAGUCCGCGGCUGAUUAGCUAGUUGGCGGGGUAACGGCCCACCAAGGCGAAGAUCGGUAG
This 243-nucleotide ribosomal RNA is filed under the name uncultured bacterium. RNAcentral's name for it is "partial small subunit ribosomal RNA". It matches the Rfam family "Bacterial small subunit ribosomal RNA", at positions 26 to 286 of the family's 1533-position model. The record is from RNAcentral.